Molecule: ribosomal RNA, 343 nt
Filed under: uncultured bacterium
Lineage: Bacteria
Description: bacterial SSU rRNA
Rfam family: Bacterial small subunit ribosomal RNA
Source: RNAcentral
CAGGUGGUGCAUGGCUGUCGUCAGCUCGUGUCGUGAGAUGUUGGGUUAAGUCCCGCAACGAGCGCAACCCUUAUUCUUAGUUGUUUUCCCUUUGGGAUACCUCUAAGAAGACUGCCUCGGAUAACGGGAGGAAGGUGGGGAUGACGUCAAGUCCGCAUGCUCCUUACGUCUAGGGCUACACACGUCCUACAAUGGGGUCGACAAUGGGAUGCAAUAUCGCAAGAUGGAGCCAAUCCCCAAACGGCCUCUCAGUUCGGAUUGUAGUCUGCAACUCGACUACAUGAAGUUGGAAUCGCUAGUAAUCGCGUAUCAGCAUGACGCGGUGAAUACGUUCCCGGGCCUU